ACCCCAAACUUACUGAAGUAGGUAGAUUUCCCCUUUAGGGUUCUCUGUCAUCUUUCUCAGCCACAUCACAAGACCCAUAGUCCAAAGUGUCCAUUAACCCAGCUUUCCAGUGGGGGACAUCCUAACACUGACCAAAUAUUAACACACUUCAUAGAGUCUUCUAAUCUGUGAGCUGGCGAUACUCCAGACCCUGAGUCCUCACCCUCACUGCACAGAUAAGGAAGCCAGCGUCUAGGGACUGGCCCUGGUUUCAAAACCUUUUUUUUUCUCCUGUGGUUCUAUGACUAAACAGCACAGUGCCGACCCAUGCUGGUCUGGCGCAGGCUCAAUCUUGUGGUUCAGGAAGAACCAAAGCCCUCCCACCCCACCCCCAAGGCUUCAGUGUAGCAGACACCCCACUGAACUAAUUAGGACCCACCUCUCUAGAACUGCAGACUCACUGGCAUUAAUUAGACACGCAGGAGCAUUUUCUUCCAGUAAUGAAGAGAAUAACACAGAGGAGUCUCGCUGAAGGCCGGAGCAUGGUAUUUCAUAAAGGUUACCUUCUCCACACGGGAGGAAUGAAGAUCCAGGGGCUGGGUUUCAAUCUAGACUUCUCUCCUCCCUUUGGGCUCUGAAGUCAGUUGGAGCUUGCUUGGUUCUUUGGUUUGCUUCUUUGUACUGAGUGGGAGGUGGACUCAGGAAACUCAGGUCUUCCAGGCCAAGGGCUCUGGAGAAGGCCACAAGGAAAGUGACCCAGACACAGCAUGCACAUACGUCUGUCAUCUGUAAAUGAUCAUACUACAUACCACACCUGUGUUCAUAUGGAAAGAUGGGAAGAUACACAAACAUGCCACACAAAUUUAAGCACACACACACACACAAACACACAGUCACACACACGUGUAGUCACAAACAUUUGUGCAUAAGUGCACACCCAAAGGCACAUGUACACACAUGCCACACUUAAAGUGGCAAUCUCUCUCUGUUUCUAUCUUCUCUUUCUGUCUCUGUCACUCUGUCUUUCUCUCUCUCUUGCUCACAGACACACACACACACAUUUGCGGUUGUCAUAGUCCCCAGUGUUUGUUCCCAGUGACUGGCUGGCUCAGCAGAAAAUCUGGCUGAGUUGCAAGCUUCUGUUUGGAAGGUGGGCGUUGCCGUGUGCAAAUACAUCUCAGGUUCAGGAAAACACAGGUGGAGGGAAGCCAAGGGCACGUGCUGGGGUGGGCGGGGGUUCUUUGUCUUCACUCCCCAGAAGAAUAACUUCCAAAAUUGGAACAGCAUUUCACCUAUUAACCCCGACGAUGUUGUGUUUCUCAGCCCACAGAGCCUCUGAUGAACCCGGUGGGUGCCAACCUGCUGGGCACACCCUCCUCUGUGAUGUAAUCUUUUGUUGACAACAUGUUCUGAACACACCCGUGGUAGACAGGACAAAUCGGCAACCCGAGAGCAAUCUUAAUUUCAACAUACACGGAGGAGUCACAAGUUAGGGCAGGCUCCAAGGGUCAAACUCAGGUUGCCAGGGUUACAGCACAUCUUUACACAUCAAUCCAUCAUGUUUGUCCUCCAAAAACUUUUGAAAACAACACUAAACCCUUUAAACUCUCCUAUGAGAUGCCACUGUGACCCUUCUGGGAAGAGAGAAAUGUCCACUGCAACAUCCGGUCAGCUGUUUGAAGUCCUAGAAGCACACACUGGUCUCAAACCAGCUCCAGACAGGAUCCAGAUGCAAUGGCUGUGUAUGAGGUGUCCCCCAAAAGGCUCUAGUGGAGAAGGCUUGGAUCCCCGCUGGUGAGCCCAUCAUGGAGAGAUGAUUCAAUCAUGAGAACUCUGACGCCCCUCUGUGGAUCAAUCCACUAAUGGAGUCAUAGUUGGAUACAUUACUGGGAGGAGUGUCUCUGCCUUGUCCUCACCCUCUCUGCCAUGACGCUUUCACCUCAGGCCUAAAGCAAUGGAGUCAGCCAUGUGCUACAGCUUCUGGUACCGUAGGCUGAAUGCAUCUUUCCUCCUCCAAACUUUCUCUCAGGCAUUUCCACAGCGACAGAAGACUGAUCACCACAAGCUCUUCUGCGUUCAGCCAAGGUGUGCAGAGCGUGGAAGCAAUCGUCCAGUGUUGUGGCCGCCAGCAGCUCGCAACGUGAACGGUUCGACUGAGAAGGCCGCUCGAGCUG
Long non-coding RNA from Mus musculus (house mouse), 2153 nucleotides. RefSeq annotates it as predicted gene, 36140. NCBI's taxonomy places the organism in Eukaryota, Metazoa, Chordata, Mammalia, Rodentia, Muridae. The record is from RefSeq and is a predicted model, not a curated record. The transcript is spliced from 5 exons.